UGGGAAUUUUGGACAAUGGGCGAAAGCCUGAUCCAGCAAUGCCGCGUGUGUGAAGAAGGCCUUCGGGUUGUAAAGCACUUUUGUCCGGAAAGAAAUCCUUGGCUCUAAUACAGUCGGGGGAUGACGGUACCGGAAGAAUAAGCACCGGCUAACUACGUGCCAGCAGCCGCGGUAAUACGUAGGGUGCAAGCGUUAAUCGGAAUUACUGGGCGUAAAGCGUGCGCAGGCGGUUUGCUAAGACCGAUGUGAAAUCCCCGGGCUCAACCUGGGAACUGCAUUGGUGACUGGCAGGCUAGAGUAUGGCAGAGGGGGGUAGAAUUCCACGUGUAGCAGUGAAAUGCGUAGAGAUGUGGAGGAAUACCGAUGGCGAAGGCAGCCCCCUGGGCCAAUACUGACGCUCAUGCACGAAAGCGUGGGGAGCAAAACAGGAUUAGAUACCCUGGUAGUCCACGCCCUAAAACGAUGUCAACUAGUUGUUGGGGAUUCAUUUCCUUAGUAACGUAGCUAACGCGUGAAGUUGACCGCCUGGGGAGUACGGUCGCAAGAUUAAAACUUAAAUGAAUUGACGGGGUCAUAGCUGUUUCCU
RNAcentral lists this ribosomal RNA (586 nucleotides) under uncultured bacterium. RNAcentral describes it as "partial 16S ribosomal RNA". It matches the Rfam family "Bacterial small subunit ribosomal RNA", at positions 356 to 1375 of the family's 1533-position model. The record is from RNAcentral.